This is a long non-coding RNA of Amyelois transitella, 350 nucleotides long. RefSeq lists it as uncharacterized. The transcript is spliced from 2 exons. NCBI's taxonomy places the organism in Eukaryota, Metazoa, Arthropoda, Insecta, Lepidoptera, Pyralidae. The record is from RefSeq and is a predicted model, not a curated record.
UUGCCGGGACAGCUAGUUAUUAUCUAAAAAGCUUUAUCUAAUCCUGUUUCAAAUAGUUCCUCUAUUUGCUGAUAAAACUUUGUUUUAAAAUAAACAUGACUGAGUCACUUGUUUUCUUUGACAUUACUUAUCAGAAACUCAUUAAUGCAAGUUGUAUAAUGUGCAUCACAAAACCUUCAAUAAAAAGAAAAAUAAGAAAGAUCAAUGAAAAAGUUAUUACUCAUGUAUUUUGUGACCCAUUGCUGAUCUUGGCAAUGCACAAAAAUCAUUUAAAUUCCGAGCAAUAUCCGUAUUAACCGUGAAAAAUAUUGUCUCGCCAUUUCCUUUUUCUUCUACCUCUUUAUUUAAAC